AUUGAACGCUGGCGGCAAGCCUAACACAUGCAAGUCGAACGCGUGGCGGACGGGUGAGAAAUGUCUGGGAAACUGCCUGAUGGAGGGGGAUAACUACUGGAAACGGUAGCUAAUACCGCAUACCAUCGGAUGUGCCAAGAUGGGAUUAGCUAGUAGGUGGGGUAAAGGCCCACCUAGGCGCCGAUCCCUAGCUGGUCUGAGAGGAUGAACAGCCAAACUGGAACUGAGACACGGUCCAGACUCCUACGGGAGGCAGCAGUGGGGAAUAGUGCGCAAUGGGCGCAAGCCUGAUGCAGCCAUGCCGCGUGUAUGAAGAAGGCCUUCGGGUUGUAAAGUACUUUCAGCGGGGAGGCGUUACCCGCAGAAGAAGCACCGGCUAACUCCGUGCCAGCAGCCGCGGUAAUUC
RNAcentral lists this ribosomal RNA (406 nucleotides) under uncultured bacterium. RNAcentral's name for it is "partial 16S ribosomal RNA". It matches the Rfam family "Bacterial small subunit ribosomal RNA", at positions 30 to 526 of the family's 1533-position model. The record is from RNAcentral.